AUUAUUAUUUAUGCAAGAACAAAAUUUGUAUUCAUGUAAAGUACACCAAAUAUCAAACCUUUACCCUUGCCAAAAUAAAAUAUAAUGAAGUUCUGGAAUGCGACAAUGUCAUGGGAAGAUUCCUAUAAGAUUAAAACGCCAGCCUUGUGAAUCAUGUGGUGAGACUCUCUGAUAGAACAGGUUUAAAGAGGGAGGGGUAAACAAAAACAUGGUCCCUUGUAGUUGCCGAAAAUCUUUGAUGAGGUAUAGUAAUCAACAGUACAGGAUCACAAUUUUAAGUACCGCUACCAAUAACAAGACAUUCAGGAGAUGAACAUGGUAGAAAUUGAGGAUGUCAACAUUGAUGCGAAUCAUAGUAGAAAGAAUAAGAUAAGAUAUGAGAAUAAUACACUAACAAAUAGAAGUGACACCAAGUGAGGAGUAGAGGUGACAUUGAAAAUAGAUUAAGGGCAUUGUGAAUCAUGUGGUGAGACUCUCUGAUAGAACAGGUUUAAAGAGGGAGGGGUAAACAAAAGCAUGGUCCCUUGUAGUUGCCGAAAAUCUUUGAUGAGGUAUAGUAAUCAACAGUACAGGAUCACAAUUUUAAGUACCGCUACCAAGUUAUUAGGAACAAGGCUUCAAUCUUUGUCACUAAGUAAUGGACAAAAGGAAAGACAAAGAAAUGACUCAAUGAAUAACUAAAGUAAUUCGAAAGUUGUAGAAAGAAUUGCAUUCUUAUUGUCAAGGCUAAACAUGCAAGCUUGAAGUAACAAAAUAGAAUCAGUAGUCCACCCUUGUUAAGCUAACACAAAGAGUCAGCAAAGGAUGAAAAUCCUUGGUAAUACAUAGAACAAACAUCUACAACAUAAUGACUUCAAUUAUCAUGCUGUCAUAUGUCCCACUAAAUUCACUUCACAACAUGACACCAUUUUCAUUCUCCC
RNAcentral lists this long non-coding RNA (920 nucleotides) under Olea europaea (common olive). RNAcentral describes it as "long non-coding RNA (OEUR_LNC013969)". The record is from RNAcentral. Lineage: Eukaryota; Viridiplantae; Streptophyta; Magnoliopsida; Lamiales; Oleaceae.